Ictalurus punctatus (channel catfish) is the source of this 3080-nucleotide long non-coding RNA. The record is from Ensembl. NCBI's taxonomy places the organism in Eukaryota, Metazoa, Chordata, Actinopteri, Siluriformes, Ictaluridae.
UUCUGGAAAUGCUCAGGUGGAGCAACUCCCCAUGCUCUGGGCUCCUGCUCCACCCACUGUCCCCAGAAGUGAACAAAGGUUGCUGCCAGCCCUGCAGGAGAGACUAAUGCUUAUAAAUGCUCAUCAGCCCGACAUCAACACACCAUGCGGGUCUCUGCUGGCGAUUGAGUAUGUGGAGAACUUAGGUUUGACGCAACCUGUCUGCUUACCUCCGGAGAAAACUACAAACUGUAAGGCCUCGAUCUUGCACAGCAUGCCUAACCGUCAUUCUGCAGACAAGUGUGGAUGUUCUGAAUGCCAGGCCCUCUACAGUCCUGAGACAGAUCAGUGCUUACCGCCACCUCUGGUGAAAGCCACCGCACUCCGCCGUCCAAAGGUUCCUCCUACAGCUUCCAGAAAAGCUCUACCUGGAAAAAGAACGAAGCUCCUACAGCAGCUUAAAGUACAGAAGAGUAACACUUUUGGAAAUGCUCAGGUGGAGCAACUCCCCAUGCUCUGGGCUCCUGCUCCACCCACUGUCCCGAGAAGUGGACGAAGGUUGCUGCCAGCCCCGCAGGAGAGACUAAAGCGUAUAAAUGUUCAUCAGCCCAACAUCAACACACCAUGCGGGUCUCGAUGGGUGACUGAGUAUUCGGAAAACUUUGGUUCGCCACACGUUGUCCGCAUACCUCCGGAGAAAACUGCAUGCCGUUUGGCCUCAACCUUUCGGAGCAUGCCUAACCCUCAUUUUGCAGACAAGUAUCGACGCUCCGAGUAUCAGGACCUCUACAGUCCUAAGAUACCGCACCGCACCGCACAUUUCAGCCUUGCUCUAUACCGACAGCUCAAAGGAACACUUUAAAAAGCAGGUAUCCAGGUGGCAAAUGUAAAAAAUUCAUGAAGCUUGUUCGGGACCACAACGUCAGUAUUCCACUUUUUACUUUUGCUGCCCAAUUCUCCAUGGAUGUAUGAGUAUGAGAAUAACUGCACAUUCUUUGGCCUAAUCACAUCAGGACAGCCAGUCUAUUUGCAGAGAAGUACACACAUACAACACCAGAGCUUCUAAUGGCUGACAAAAUUACAUAAAGAAAAAUUCCCCCAGACUUUCACAGGCAGACUUAAGAAAUGGCAGAGGAUGGUCUUCUUACCGAUAGAUGGCAUCUUUGAGCUAACAAAGCACGCCUUAAAGUUGUUAUUCUUUCUGAAAUCGUCUGGGUUACGCAAGUACAAGACGUUGUGUUUAGCAUAACAGUAUGGGAGUGUCCUUGCGCGCAACCGGUAUCUGAAGCUGGUGUAAAAUCAUGCCUCUAUUCAAGACCUGCCAUGAUCAGAUGACGUGGCAAUUAAGCGCAUCACGUGAUAUAUACAGUGGCGCUUGAAAGUUUGUGAACCCUUUCGAAUUUUUCUAUAUAUCUGCAUAAAUAUUACCUAAAACGUCAUAAAACUUUCACAUAAAUCCUAAAAGCAGACAAAGAGAACCCAAUUAAACAAAUGAGAUAAAAAUGAUCAUACUUGUACAUUUAUUUAUUGAGGAAAACGAUCCAAUAUUACAUAUCUGUGAGUGGCAAAAGUAUGUGGACCUCUAAUAUUAGCAGUUCAUUUGAAGGUGAAAUCAGAGUCAGGGUGUUUUCAAUCAAUGGGAUAAUAAUCAGCUGUGAGUGAGCGCACUGUUUUAUUUCAAGAACGAGGAUCUAUCAAAAUCUAAUCUUCACAACAUGUUUGUAGAAGUGUGUCAUGGCAAGGAGAUUUCUGAGGACCUCAGAAAAAGAGUUGUUGAUGUUCAUCAGGCUGGAAAAGGUUACAAAACCAUCUCGAAAGUGUUUGGACUCCACCAAUCCACAAUCAGACAGAUUGUGUACAAAUGGAGGAAAUUUUAGACCACUGUUACCUUCCCUAGGAGUGAAGACCAACAAAGAUCACUCCAAGUGCAAGACCUAUAAUAGUCCGCGAGUUCACAAAGGAGCCAGGGUAACUUCUAAGCAACUAAAGCCCUCUCUCACAUUAGCUAAUGUUAAUGUUCAUGAGUCUACCAUAAAGAGAACAUUGAACAACAAUAGUGUGCAUGGCAGGGUUGAAAAGAGAAAACCACUGCUCUCCAAAAAGAACAUUGCUGCCCGUCUGUAGUUUGCUAAAGAUCAUGUGGACAAGCCAGAAGGCUAGUAGAACAAUAUUUUGUGGAUUGAUGAGACAAAAAUACAUUUUUUGGUCUAAAUGAGAAGUGUUAUAUUUGGAGAAAGGAAAACACUGCCUCUAUUAUCUGAAGCGAAGACACAAUUCACAGGCCUGCCCUGGUAUGACAAAGCUAUGCAACAGCUCGUUCCCUUCUCAGGGAACAGGGUUACCCCAGACGUUCCCUUUCAAAGGGAACUCAAUGUUGCGUUUAGCAUAACAGUAUGGGAAUGAGAAUACCCACUGUCAUACCGAGAGUAUGGCCUGUUCAAAAAGACCCAAGCCCUCGGGUCACUGCAAGACACUCGAGCCUGGGGCAGAAUGAAUAUCCAGACUGUAAUAACGAAUGUAGACAGGCUUUGGACAAAGCCUUUGAGGAGGUGACCGUCCUAGUGGAAUGAGCCCUUAUGCCCAGAGGCGUAGCAAGACCGCGCGCCUCAUAAGCAAUAGAGAUUGCUUCCACUAUCCAAUUAGAGAUGCACUGAUUUGACACAGCAUCACCUCUACUGUCGCAGCCAAAGCAGACCAGCAGCUGCUCCAAAUUACGCCACUGGCCGGAGCGGUGGACAUAAGUACAGAGAGCCCUUACUGGACACAGCAGGUGCAUUCUCUCUUGUUCCGGUGUGAGGAACGGAAGACAGAAAGCCUGCAACAGUACAGGGUGGGCAGCCGAUCUAGGCACUUUAGGAAUAUAAUCCGGCCUAGGAUACAGGAAGGCCUUGGCUAAUCCAGGGGCAAAGUCAAGGCAGGAAGGGGCAACAGAGAGAGCUUGUAGAUCCGAUAGCUCUGCCUUUUAUGACUUCUUUUAAAUUAAUAACAAUUAAUUCCACAAUUCUGAAGGAAAUGCAAAUAAAAACUUUAUUCCCUCCAUUUCAACAAGUUGUUUCACAGUAACUGGUCUCAUAAACAGAAAACACAUUACUCAAAUUAAC